RNAcentral lists this ribosomal RNA (1593 nucleotides) under Triticum aestivum (bread wheat). RNAcentral's name for it is "partial small subunit ribosomal RNA". Lineage: Eukaryota; Viridiplantae; Streptophyta; Magnoliopsida; Poales; Poaceae. The record is from RNAcentral.
AUGGCGUUCAAAAGCGGCGUCACAUACGACCCCGCGGGCCGCCUCGUCUCGUGGCGGCGAGGUGUCGACUGCUGCCGGUGGAGGGGCGUCCGAUGCAGCAACCGGACUGGCCAUGUCGUCGAGCUUCGAUUUGGAUAUACCGAGCUAAUCGACGGCGAACAGUACCCGUACAUGGAAGGCGACGUAAGUCCAUCUCUGUUUUCUUUGGAGCACCUGGAACACCUUGAUCUUGGUGAGACUUCACUGAGUAUUCCAGGUGGCCGUUAUAAUUCCAAGUUAUGGGGAUCUCUUAAGAGCUUGAGAUACUUGAACCUCUCCGGCACAAUAUUACUCGAUGGCGACAAGAUGUUGCCUCAGCUUGGUAACCUCUCUAAGCUCCAAUAUCUCGACAUUUCAUACGCUUCCUACAUGAAUCCUAGUGUAAAACCAACAGAUUUAUCAUGGUUAACACGUCUGCCUUUGCUGCACCAUCUUGACCUGAGCUGGGUAAAUCUUACCAUGGUGCAUGAUUGGCCUCACACCGUGAAUAUGAUUCCUUCUUUGCAAGCUCUCCAUCUUUCUGCCUGUUCACUUCAAAAUGCAAACCAGCGGCUCCCACACCUGAACCUCACAAAACUUGAGUGGCUUGAUCUCAGCAUGAAUGAUUUUGAUCAUCCCUCCGAAUCCUGUUGGUUUUGGAACUUGACAAGCCUCAAGUACCUCAACCUUGGAUCCACUUUUUUAUAUGGUCAAUUUCCUAGCAUGUUGGGGGAAAUGAUGUCCCUUCAAUUCUUUGACUUCUCAGAAAACAUGCAUCUUGAUGGCCAUGGCGGUGGCGUCAUAGCGCCUCGAUUGCUGAGAAACCUAUGCAAUUUGGAAGUUCUAAACCUUGCGAAAGGUCUGUCUUAUGGUAACAUGACAGAGUUAUACGGAAGUUUGCCACACUGCUCUUCCAGUAAACUGCAAAGAUUGGAUUUGCAUAAAAACAAUAUCACCGGGACACUACCAGCUGGGAUUGUCCAAUUUACCAGCUUGGCCAUUCUCGACCUUUCCAAUAACCAUCUGGCAGGAUAUGUGCCUUCGGAGAUUGGUACACUCAGCAAUCUUAUUUUCCUGAACUUGGGAUACAACAAAUUCACAGGUAUCAUCACGGAAGAACACUUCUGUAACUUAACGGCCUUAAAACAUAUAGAUUUGUCCAAUAAUUUCUUGAGGAUUGUGGUAGAUCCUGAUCGACUACCCCCCUUGAAACUAGAGAUCGCAUCUUUUGCAUCUUGCCAAAUGGGUCCUGGUUUUCCUGCCUGGCUUCAACGGAUGUCUGGUGUUUAUAUCAUCGAUAUGUCAAACACGGGUAUAACCGGUCCGUUUCCGUACUGGUUCUGUGCAACACUUUCACUCGCUAAAGGUUUGGACAUGUCUGACAAUCAAAUCAAUGGAAGCUUGCCAAAGAACAUGGAAAUCAUGUCAUUGGGGUAUCUCUCCCUAGAUAGAAACCAAAUAGUCGGUGAAAUACCAACAUUGCCGAGAAACCUCACUGAUUUUUCCAUCUCAAACAAUGAUUUGUCCGGUCAAGUUCCAGGAUCUAUAUGCAAAUCCAGAGAGUUGCUGAGGUGA